CCUACGGGUGGCAGCAGUGGGGAAUCUUCCACAAUGGGCGAAAGCCUGACGGAGCAACGCCGCGUGGGUGAAGAAGGCCUUCGGAUCGUAAAACCCUGUUGUUAGAGAAGAAAGUUCGUGAGAGUAACUGUUCACGUUUCGACGGUAUCUAUCCACAAAGCCACGGCUAACUACGUGCCAGCAGCCGCGGUAAUACGUAGGUGGCAAGCGUUAUCCGGUUUUAUUGGGCGUAAAGGGAACGCAGGCGGUCUUUUAAGUCUGAUGGGAAAGCCUUCGGCUUAACCGGAGAAGUGCAUUGGAAACUGGGAGACUUGAGUGCAGGAGAGGGGAGUGGAACUCGAUGUGUAGCGGUGAAAUGCGUAGAUAUAUGGAAGAACACCAGUGGCGAAGGCGGCUCUCUGGUCUAUAACUGACGCUGAGGUUCGAAAGCGUGGGUAGCAAACAGGAUUAGAUACCCGAGUAGUC
RNAcentral lists this ribosomal RNA (465 nucleotides) under uncultured bacterium. RNAcentral's name for it is "partial 16S ribosomal RNA". It matches the Rfam family "Bacterial small subunit ribosomal RNA", at positions 338 to 795 of the family's 1533-position model. The record is from RNAcentral.